This 69-nucleotide transfer RNA is filed under the name Neolamprologus caudopunctatus. Its description in RNAcentral is "tRNA-His". It matches the Rfam family "tRNA". From Rfam's summary of the family: Transfer RNA (tRNA) molecules are approximately 80 nucleotides in length. Their secondary structure includes four short double-helical elements and three loops (D, anti-codon, and T loops). The record is from RNAcentral. Lineage: Eukaryota; Metazoa; Chordata; Actinopteri; Cichliformes; Cichlidae.
GUAGAUAUAGUUUAACAAAAACAUUAGAUUGUGGUUCUAAAAACAGAGGUUAAAAUCCCCUUAUCCGCC